AUUGUGAACUCCAGCUUGCAAAGCCAGCCAGGAAAGUGCACUGAUGGACUGAAAAGCACAUGGCACUGGGAUAAAGAUUAAGAGGAAGCACUAGGGUUUCCAGAUGAGUCACUGGACUUUAGGAAACAGAAAAAACAGAGUGCCAGCUCCCUCCUGUGCCAGCACCACAGUGACAAUAUGAGAUAUCGCAUCUAAAGAAGCACAGCCAAAUAUUUGAUUUGGACGAUUACACUGAAGAAGCCUCAUCACAACUGUGGGUGCCCAGAUUACCAACUCCCUGCUCUUGGCUCCGGUACAUCUCACAGUGGAUGGUCAGUCCUUCAGCUUCCUGGUGGAAAGGACCUGUCUGGGAAGAACCUGUUUUGCUCUUUCUAACACUUUGCUAUUCUGGUGUGUUGAGCUGACUGAAGCACAAAUAAAGCCAUUAUGCA
This 431-nucleotide long non-coding RNA is filed under the name Fukomys damarensis (Damara mole-rat). RNAcentral's name for it is "lncRNA (ENSFDAG00000024845.1)". Lineage: Eukaryota; Metazoa; Chordata; Mammalia; Rodentia; Bathyergidae. The record is from RNAcentral.